GCAACCUGCCUGUAAGCGGGGAAUAACCCGUUGAAAGACGGACUAAUACCGCAUAAUACUAAAUUACUGCAUGGGUAAUUAUUUAAACAUUUAUGGCUUACAGAUGGGCAUGCGCAUGAUUAGCUAGUUGGAGAGGUAACGGCUCCCAAGGCAACGAUCAUUAGGGUUCUGAGAGGAAGGUCCCCACACUGGUACUGAGACACGGACCAGACUCCUACGGGAGGCAGCAGUGAGGAAUAUUGGUCAAUGGACGAGAGUCUGAACCAGCCAAGUCGCGUGCAGGAAGAAUGUCCUAAUGGAUUGUAAACUGCUUUUGCAGGGGAAUAAAGUGCAUCACGUGUGAUGUUUUGUAUGUACUCUGCGAAUAAGGAUCGGCUAACUCCGUGCCAGCCGCAGC
RNAcentral lists this ribosomal RNA (397 nucleotides) under uncultured bacterium. Its description in RNAcentral is "bacterial SSU rRNA". It matches the Rfam family "Bacterial small subunit ribosomal RNA", at positions 121 to 518 of the family's 1533-position model. The record is from RNAcentral.